This 1407-nucleotide long non-coding RNA is filed under the name Capsella grandiflora. RNAcentral's name for it is "long non-coding RNA (CGRA_LNC001740)". The record is from RNAcentral. Lineage: Eukaryota; Viridiplantae; Streptophyta; Magnoliopsida; Brassicales; Brassicaceae.
UCACUAGUCUUUUAGCGUCAUGUGGACUUAGGGAGAUGAUAACUCUGGUGCCUGCAAGUUUGAUACAAACCCUUGAUGAGUAAAACCAAUAAGAAACCAUACGAUGAGAUAUCAAUACAGAAUACAAUUUCUUUAAGGAGAAACAAUUUUUACCUCGUCAAAAUUGGCUGAAUUUCCUGGAAUUAAGAAUCAGACAGUACUGCCUAACACAAGAAUUAAGACGCAAGCAAAAACAAUAUGAUAUUAAAAGCAUAGAAAAAGAACAUGUACCUUCGACAGAUCUGUUGGAUUCAGUCUUGCAAAAUCAUUCAUGGUUAUAUGACUGCCACCAAAAAUGCCCUGAUUUGAGAACAUAUCAUAUGUUAAACAACGAAUCUUUGCAUGUAUUAAACUUAUAAGAGUUAACAAGAUUUAAAUACAUACUCGCUUGCAAAGAGGUGAAAUUUCCCAUAUAUACAUCAUCUUCCUCAAAUUCAUAGUAGCUUCUGCAUCUUUUCUGCAGAUGAAGUCAAAGAUCCACAGAGAAAAAAAGUUAAACAAAUUUUCAGAUAAAUGGUGCCAAAGACAUUGAUAUAAACACUAAUGUGUAUUAAGCCACAACGACAUUUAAUCUAAGCGGUAACUACUAACUACCCAUUAGUGUGCAUCAUCUUAAGUCCUACAAUUGAUAUAAACACUUAUGUAUAAGGCAUAACAAAAUUGAUAUCAAGCCAGAUAUAAGCAUAUAUAUGAUGUUGAUUAAUCAUGAGAUGUAAAGACUCAUGACUACCACUCUAGUAUAAGAACUUCGUGAACCAUCUGGGAAUCACAUGUCUUAAUGACUUUUUUUUUAACCAAAUCUAAGAAAAAAUUACAAACAACAAUCAUUUGGUCUCUGACACCAGCCAUAGACUAACUACAAAAUUUUAACAGAGUAAACAUCUAAUUUUACUGAAAAUCAAGAAGCAAAACAUGCGCAGAGUUUUGUUUUUCUUAUUAACAAGUAGAUAUCUGAUUCAAAUACAUACCUACUAGUUUAGCCAAUUCUGUUGUGCACUAGAAGUCACCAAAAUCCCAUAAUUCUCCUCUAAUGAAUCACACAUGCUCCAAAAUCUUAUUACUGCAACAAUGUAAACAGAACCAGUAACACUAUAAUCUUAAAAAAAGAAUGGAGAUAGAGAGCGUGGCAGAAGUCGAACCUGAGACAAAUCUUUGUACACAUUUGAGUUCUCUUCUGAAGCUUUAAAAUUUAUAUAUGCACAAAAGACUCAAAAAAUGGAGUUACUCACAAAACCAUAAACGCCAUCAAGGAAAAUGCUUGGGAAGAUUAUAAGUAAAAGAGGAAAGGGACAUUCACCUGAUCAAAGUGGAAAAUAUAUAAUCCGCAAACUUGAUUUUCUGUAUAUCCUAUUAAGAAUCAGUCACUAA